AAAGGUUUGGUCCUGACUUUACUAUUAGCUUCAACCUAAUUUAUACAUGCAAGUAUCCGCAGCCCUGUGAGAAUGCCCUCAAUCCCCCACCCGGGGAUGAGGAGCGGGCAUCAGGCACACUUAAAUUUAGCCCAAGACGCCUUGCUACGCCACACCCCCAAGGGACUUCAGCAGUAACAAACAUUAAGCCAUAAGUGAAAACUUGACUUAGUUAAGGUUAUAAGGGUCGGUAAAAAUCGUGCCAGCCACCGCGGUUAUACGAAAGACUCUAGUUAAUAGCUACGGCACAAAGGGUGGUUAAGGAAAAUAACUAAUAAAGCUAAAGACCUUCUAGGCCGUUAUACGCAUUACGAAGCCACGAAACCCAACCACGAAAGUAGCUUUAAACCCCUCCUGACUCCACGAAAGCUAAGAAACAAACUGGGAUUAGAUACCCCACUAUGCUUAGCCAUAAACUUAGAUGUACCACAUACAUCCGCCAGGGUACUACGAGCACAGCUUAAAACCCAAAGGACUUGGCGGUGUCUCAGACCCCCCUAGAGGAGCCUGUUCUAGAACCGAUAACCCCCGUUAAACCUCACCACUUCUUGUUUUCCCCGUCUAUAUACCGCCGUCGUCAGCUUACCCUGUGAAGGCCCAACAGUAAGCAAAAUGGCACAGCCAAAAACGUCAGGUCGAGGUGUAGCCUACGAAGUGGAAAGAAAUGGGCUACAUUUUCUAAAUACAGAAUACUACGAACAGCACCCUGAAAAUAGGUGCUAGAAGGUGGAUUUAGUAGUAAAAAGCAAAUAGAGAGUCCUUUUGAAUUAGGCUCUGAGACGCGCACACACCGCCCGUCACUCUCCCCUCAUUUAAUCAUAAACUCAAUACAUAAUAACCUAAUCUUAAAUACCUAGGGGAGGCAAGUCGUAACAUGGUAAGUGUACCGGAAGGUGCACUUGGAAUAA
Molecule: non-coding RNA, 947 nt
Filed under: Wallago attu
Lineage: Eukaryota; Metazoa; Chordata; Actinopteri; Siluriformes; Siluridae
Description: 12S ribosomal RNA
Rfam family: Bacterial small subunit ribosomal RNA
Source: RNAcentral